CUACGGGCGGCUCCAGUCGCGAAUCUUUUACAAUGCACGAAAGUGUGAUAGAGCGAACCAAAGUGGUUUUCGUUUAGAAAACCUUUUCUUCAUUUUAAAAAGAUGGAGGAAUAAGGACUGGGCAAGACCGGUGCCAGCCGCCGCGGUAAUACCGGCAGUCCAAGUUGCAUCCCUUUUUAUUGGGUCUAAAACAUCCGUAGCUUGUUCGUUAAGUUUUUUGUGAAAUCCCAUUUCUCAAAGAUGGGGCGCGCAGAAAAUACUGACGGGCUAGAGAUCGGUAGACGUGAGGAGUACGCCGGAGGUAGUGGUAAAAUACGUUAAUCUUCGGUGGACUAACAAUCAGCGAAGGCACCUUACGAGGACGAAUCUGACAGUGAGGGAUGAAGGCCAAGGGCGCAAAACGGAUUAGAUACCCCGGUAGUC
This 423-nucleotide ribosomal RNA is filed under the name uncultured archaeon. RNAcentral's name for it is "partial 16S ribosomal RNA". It matches the Rfam family "Archaeal small subunit ribosomal RNA", at positions 323 to 746 of the family's 1478-position model. The record is from RNAcentral.